Molecule: unclassified non-coding RNA, 249 nt
Organism: Phascolarctos cinereus (koala)
Lineage: Eukaryota; Metazoa; Chordata; Mammalia; Diprotodontia; Phascolarctidae
Rfam family: Metazoan signal recognition particle RNA
About the family: The signal recognition particle (SRP) is a universally conserved ribonucleoprotein. It is involved in the co-translational targeting of proteins to membranes.
Source: Ensembl
GCUGGGAAUGAUAGCACAUUCCUAUAAUCCCUGCUGUCAGGAAGGCUGAGGCUGGUGAAAGCUGCAAUGGGAUAAGUCAAUCAGGUAUCUGAACUAAGUCUAGCACCAGUAUGGUGAACCCCUCAGAAUAAGGAGCCAUCAGGCUGCCUAAGGAGAAGUGAAAUGGCCCAGGUUGGAAACACAACAGGUCAGAGCUUCCAUGCUGGUGAGUAGUGGGCUUGGGAUUGCAUUCUGUAUUUCUAGCCUUGA